UUAGAGAACCCUGGUUAAGGAACUCGGCAAAUUGACACCGUAACUUCGGGAGAAGGUGUGCCGCUGGCGGUUAGUGACUUCGCGUCACGAAGCUGUUGGUGGUCGCAGUGAAAUGGCGGUUGUGACUGUUUACUAAAAACACAGGACUCUGCGAAGUCGUAAGACGACGUAUAGGGUCUGAUGCCUGCCCGGUGCUGGAAGGUUAAGGGGAUAUGUCAGCGCAAGCGAAGCAUUGAACCGAAGCCCCAGUAAACGGCGGCCGUAACGAUAACGGUCCUAAGGUAGCGAAAUUCCUUGUCGGGUAAGUUCCGACCUGCACGAAGGGCAUAACAACAUCCGCACUGUCUCGACCAGGGACUCAGCGAAAUUACAUUGGGGGUGAAGAUGCCCUCUACCCGCGGAAAGACGGAAAGACCCCAUGAACCUUUACUGCAACUUGGCAGUGAUUUUCGGGUUGUUCUGCGUAGGAUAGGUGGGAGGCUUUGAAGCCGGGCUUCCGGGUUCGGCAGAGCCAACGUUGAAAUACCACCCUGAAUAAUCUGGAAAUCUAACCUGCGCCCAUGAUCUGGGCGAGGGACACUGCCUGGUGGGCAGUUUGACUGGGGCGGUCGCCUCCUAAAUUGUAACGGAGGCGUGCGACGGUUCCCUCAGGCUGAUUGGAAACCAGCCGUAGAGUGCAAACGCAUAAGGGAGCUUUACUGCGAGACUGACAAGUCGACCAGUUGCGAAAGCAGGUGUUAGUGAUCCGGUGGUACCACAUGGAAGGGCCAUCGCUCAUCGGAUAAAAGGUACUCUGGGGAUAACAGGCUGAUCGCGCCUGAGAGUUCACAUCGGCGGCGCGGUUUGGCACCUCGAUGUCGGCUCAUCGCAUCCUGGGGCUGGAGCAGGUCCCAAGGGUUUGGCUGUUCGCCAAUUAAAGCGGUACGCGAGCUGGGUUUAAAACGUCGUGAGACAGUUUGGUCCCUAUCUUCCGUGGGCGCAGGACACUUGAGAGGAGCUAUCCAUAGUACGAGAGGACCUGGAUGGACGAACCUCUGGUGCUCCGGUUGUCACGCCAGUGGCAUAGCCGGGUAGCCAUGUUCGGAACAGAUAACCGCUGAAGGCAUAUAAGCGGGAAGCUGGCCUCAAGACUAGGUGUCCCUGACGCAAGUCACUAAAGGCCCCUCGAGGACUACGAGGUUGAUAGGCUCGGUGUGGAAGCGCUGCGAGGCGCGGAGCUAACGAGUACUAAUAGGCCGUGAGGCUUGACCUC
RNAcentral lists this ribosomal RNA (1252 nucleotides) under metagenome. RNAcentral's name for it is "bacterial LSU rRNA". It matches the Rfam family "Bacterial large subunit ribosomal RNA", at positions 1689 to 2925 of the family's 2925-position model. The record is from RNAcentral.